AAAGGAUGUGGCGUUGCCCAGACAACUAGGAUGUUGGCUUAGAAGCAGCCAUCAUUUAAAGAGUGCGUAAUAGCUCACUAGUCGAGUGACACUGCGCCGAAAAUGUACCGGGGCUAAACAUAUUACCGAAGCUGUGGAUUGUCCUUUGGACAAUGGUAGGAGAGCGUUCUAAGGGCGUUGAAGCAUGAUCGUAAGGACAUGUGGAGCGCUUAGAAGUGAGAAUGCCGGUGUGAGUAGCGAAAGACGGGUGAGAAUCCCGUCCACCGAUUGACUAAGGUUUCCAGAGGAAGGCUCGUCCGCUCUGGGUUAGUCGGGUCCUAAGCUGAGGCCGACAGGCGUAGGCGAUGGAUAACAGGUUGAUAUUCCUGUACCACCUAUAAUCGUUUUAAUCGAUGGGGGGACGCAGUAGGAUAGGCGGAUGGGGAGAAGACAUUGAGUCUUCGAGUCGUUGAUUUCACACUGCCGAGAAAAGCCUCUAGAUAGAAAAUAGGUGCCCGUACCGCAAACCGACACAGGUAGUCAAGAUGAGAAUUCUAAGGUGAGCGAGCGAACUCUCGUUAAGGAACUCGGCAAAAUGACCCCGUAACUUCGGGAGAAGGGGUGCUCUUUAGGGUUAACGCCCAGAAGAGCCGCAGUGAAUAGGCCCAAGCGACUGUUUAUCAAAAACACAGGUCUCUGCUAAACCGUAAGGUGAUGUAUAGGGGCUGACGCCUGCCCGGUGCUGGAAGGUUAAGAGGAGUGGUUAGCUUCUGCGAAGCUACGAAUCGAAGCCCCAGUAAACGGCGGCCGUAACUAUAACGGUCCUAAGGUAGCGAAAUUCCUUGUCGGGUAAGUUCCGACCCGCACGAAAGGCGUAACGAUUUGGGCACUGUCUCGCGCUAGCUUACGUGGAGGCGCUGGUGGGAUACUACCCUAGCUGUGUUGGCUUUCUAACCCGCACCACUUAUCGUGGUGGGAGACAGUGUCAGGCGGGCAGUUUGACUGGGGCGGUCGCCUCCUAAAAGGUAACGGAGGCGCUCAAAGGUUCCCUCAGAAUGGUUGGAAAUCAUUCAUAGAGUGUAAAGGCAUAAGGGAGCUUGACUGCGAGACCUACAAGUCGAGCAGGGUCGAAAGACGGACUUAGUGAUCCGGUGGUUCCGCAUGGAAGGGCCAUCGCUCAACGGAUAAAAGCUACCCCGGGGAUAACAGGCUUAUCUCCCCCAAG
This 1204-nucleotide ribosomal RNA is filed under the name Staphylococcus aureus. RNAcentral describes it as "partial 23S ribosomal RNA". It matches the Rfam family "Bacterial large subunit ribosomal RNA", at positions 1068 to 2496 of the family's 2925-position model. Lineage: Bacteria; Bacillati; Bacillota; Bacilli; Caryophanales; Staphylococcaceae. The record is from RNAcentral.